RNAcentral lists this microRNA precursor (80 nucleotides) under Petromyzon marinus (sea lamprey). Its description in RNAcentral is "microRNA pma-mir-193 precursor". Its record names the gene pma-mir-193. The record is from miRBase by way of RNAcentral. Lineage: Eukaryota; Metazoa; Chordata; Hyperoartia; Petromyzontiformes; Petromyzontidae.
GCGUCUGGUGCCGGGGUUUCACGGUGCCAGCCGAGCCCCACAGCGGAUCCACUGGCCCGUAAAGUCCCGACGCCCGGCGC